UUGAACGCUGGCGGCAGGCCUAACACAUGCAAGUCGAACGGUAACAGGAAGAAGCUUGCUUCUUUGCUGACGAGUGGCGGACGGGUGAGUAAUGUCUGGGAAACUGCCUGAUGGAGGGGGAUAACUACUGGAAACGGUAGCUAAUACCGCAUAACGUCGCAAGACCAAAGAGGGGGACCUUCGGGCCUCUUGCCAUCGGAUGUGCCCAGAUGGGAUUAGCUAGUAGGUGGGGUAACGGCUCACCUAGGCGACGAUCCCUAGCUGGUCUGAGAGGAUGACCAGCCACACUGGAACUGAGACACGGUCCAGACUCCUACGGGAGGCAGCAGUGGGGAAUAUUGCACAAUGGGCGCAAGCCUGAUGCAGCCAUGCCGCGUGUAUGAAGAAGGCCUUCGGGUUGUAAAGUACUUUCAGCGGGGAGGAAGGGAGUAAAGUUAAUACCUUUACUCAUUGACGUUACCCGCAGAAGAAGCACCGGCUAACUCCGU
This 488-nucleotide ribosomal RNA is filed under the name uncultured bacterium. RNAcentral describes it as "partial 16S ribosomal RNA". It matches the Rfam family "Bacterial small subunit ribosomal RNA", at positions 30 to 506 of the family's 1533-position model. The record is from RNAcentral.